AGAUUGAACGCUGGCGGAAUGCCUUACACAUGCAAGUCGAACGGCAGCACGGGAGCAAUCCUGGUGGCGAGUGGCGAACGGGUGAGUAAUACAUCGGAACGUGCCCAAUCGUGGGGGAUAACGUAGCGAAAGCUACGCUAAUACCGCAUACGAUCUACGGAUGAAAGCAGGGGAUCGCAAGACCUUGCGCGAAUGGAGCGGCCGAUGGCAGAUUAGGUAGUUGGUGGGGUAAAGGCUCACCAAGCCUUCGAUCUGUAGCUGGUCUGAGAGGACGACCAGCCACACUGGGACUGAGACGACGGCCCAGACUCCUACGGGAGGCAGCAGUGGGAAUUUGGACAAGUGGCGCGAAGCCUGAUCCAGCCAUCCGCGUGCAGGAUGAAGGCCUUCGGUUGUAAACGUGU
This 404-nucleotide ribosomal RNA is filed under the name uncultured soil bacterium. RNAcentral's name for it is "bacterial SSU rRNA". It matches the Rfam family "Bacterial small subunit ribosomal RNA", at positions 26 to 433 of the family's 1533-position model. The record is from RNAcentral.